UUUCCGUAGGUGAACCUGCGGAAGGAUCAUUAUUGUAUAACCGAGGUGCGAGGGCUGUCGCUGACCCGACAGGUCGUGCACGCCCGAGUGCCCUGACACACAUCCAUCUCACCCCUAUGUGCACCACCGCGUGGGUCCCCCUUUGGCGUGUUCGGAGGGGGGCUUACGUUUUCACACAAACUUUGUAUGCAGUGUAGAAUGUAUUUUUUGUUUUUGCGAUCACGCAAUCAAUACAACUUUCAACAACGGAUCUCUUGGCUCUC
RNAcentral lists this unclassified non-coding RNA (263 nucleotides) under plant metagenome. RNAcentral describes it as "partial contains small subunit ribosomal RNA, internal transcribed spacer 1, and 5.8S ribosomal RNA". The record is from RNAcentral.